AGCAACUCUCCAGCGGCGAGGAGAGGAAGGCCGUGGUGAGGGUGGUGGCGGCUGACAUGCCGCCCGCGCUGCAGCGCCGCGCGUUCUGCUGCGCCCACGACGAGCUCGCGGCGAUGCCGCACUUCCCGCGCCGGCUCGAGCCCAAGCGCCUCGCGCUGGCGCUCAAGAAGGUAAAGGCUGUUUUUUCCCUCCGUAUUGAUUAUUCGAAAAAGGCCCGUAUCUACUAGUCGCUAAUUAGAGUCUCUGAGAUGCUGCUUAGACUUUAGUGAGGAUAUCGUCUUGCAUUCGUGAUUGUUAGUAUUACUAAAUGGUUUGCUUCCUAAGAAUCAAGGAUUCUUGGAGCGACAUUGCUGCUAUAGAGUAAUUGCACUUAUUUUUACAUACCCUCAUUGUGCACUAGCGCCUUCUCACGGGAAUGGAGUCAUAAUAGCUGGUGUAUGAUCUAUUGAUCCGUGCCUUGCCAAUUGCCAUGAGUCAAUGACGUCGAUUGCGCGGUGCUCCAUUCAUAUCCAUUCUGAAUUUCUGAUUUGAUUGUCCUUGGAGUAAAUCUUGGACUGUCUUCAUGUGUCCGAAUCCAAAAUAGUCUUGUGGUUCGUCUGCCUUUCAGCUCAUUUGGAAGGUUCUCAGAGUUGCUGAUCCCACCAUUGGCAGUUCAAGUAUCAAGAGGCCAUUGGUGACAGAAGCUUCAACAUCCAUGGUUAUUAGAUGUACAUGUCAUUUUCUUUCACCCUUUUCCUAAAUAACUUGUUGGCAUUAAGAUGCAUGACACUAUUACCUUCUUCCUGAAUAACUGUGAGCGAGAUGUAUAAAAUAUGUAGUUUUUUAUGUUGAAAAUACUGAAGUAUGGAACAAUGUACUCCUAACUAGGGAUUGUGGUGGGACACAAAACUGACAGUAGCUUCCAUUUUCCUAUAGUAAAUUUUAUUUGUCAUGAUCUAGCUUUGCAUAUAUAAUUUUCUCCGAGUUCCUUACAGAAGCUAUACCAAGUUUUAUAUUUAGUCCCUAGUAUGAGUGGAAACUUUGUAUAACUGCUGUAAGGAAAAACUUGUUCAUAAGAUUAGCAAGAAUGCUAAUACAUGUGUCUAUCUUGAAUUCUUGGUCUGAAAAUUUAUCAGGAACUCAUGGUGGUAUGCGAAUGGGAGCUAGGUGAGGCUAUUGAAUUGAACUUCUAAUAGUGAUUUUCCAAUUUAUACUUACAAUAAAAUCUUGUUUGCAUCUCAGGCUUUCUGUGACUUUGAUUCGGUGAUCUCUGUUAGUACUUCAGCACUGUAAGUCUGUAACAACUAAAAACACAUUUUUACUGAAUCAUACAUCAAUAAAUAUAUGAGUAUGGUAUAAACAGCAUGCGAACAUACUUAUCUUCACUUUUCUAAUAGCAGACUUCUGUUUUAUCCUCAUUGGAGAUUGAACAGCUUCUGUUAUUUCCCAACACGCCCUGCAUACCUCUCUGUUCCUAACUCUUUUUGUGUGCAUAUCUUUUUCAGCAGGGAAGUUCCCUAAGGCAGGCAGUUGAAGUUUACUGUCUUUUUACACUCACUGGCUUAAGUCUCCCGCGGCACAUGCACAGUCUUAUGACACAACCACUGCCUUUUUAAUAUAAAAUGGUCAUUAGCUGUUAAAGUUUACUGUGAUGCCCUUAGUCUAGUGAUAAAAUGGAGUUCAGCUGAUCAGGUACAAAGGAGCCCCUGAAGUGGAAAGUCAGGUUCAAAAUUGCACUUGGAAUUGCUGAAGGGCUGCUUUAUCUACAUGAAGGCUGCCAUCGCCGCAUAAUUCACAGGGACGUCAAGGCAUCUAAUAUCCUUCUAACUGAAGACUACCAACCUCAGAUAUCAGAUUUUGGGCUUGCAAAGUGGCUCCCUGACAAAUUGACCCAUCAUGUUGUGUAUCCCAUUGAAGGCACAUUCGGCGAGCGUCUAUGCGUUCGGGUUACUAGGACAUGGGACUUCUAUGAUCCUGGAGAUGAUAAAAAACUUCUGCAUUCUGAUCUUGUACCGCUCGAUGAGGAGGUAUAACACACAUUUUCCUUAUAUGCGUCAAUCCCUGCUUGCUUAUGCUGGGAGAGGGUGGUUGUUGUUG
Zea mays is the source of this 2076-nucleotide long non-coding RNA. RefSeq lists it as uncharacterized. The record is from RefSeq and is a predicted model, not a curated record. The transcript is spliced from 3 exons. Lineage: Eukaryota; Viridiplantae; Streptophyta; Magnoliopsida; Poales; Poaceae.